UCAGUGCGGUGAUUAUGAUGGGGAUUUGUAUCGAGAGUAUCCUCUGGAUUCCGAAGGUGGGUUUGGGAAUAUCAUUGUGGUGGACAAUCUGCCGGUGAUGCCGCUGGAAAACUUUGCGAAGCUCGAAGGUGUAAGAUGUACAAUCAAGAAACGGGAGGCUCGAAUAUUCAGGGAAAGACGAAUGGACUCUAUGUUGGACAAAUCAUAUGCAUGAUGUUGAUCUGUUUGGUGACUUCAAGAAGUACAUGAUGAUUCCAGAUGAGUGGAAAUCUGCUGAAAUUAGAUCAAACAAACCUGGGUUGUUCUAUGUAAUUUGUUGUUUAUGCCCCUCUUCACUAUUGGACUGAGAGCUCUAUCCAGUGGCCUCUUCUACUUUUCAUUGUUUGAUGCAUUUUGCCUAUUCUCAGGUCGGUCUUACUUUUCAUUGUUAUUUUCUUUUUUAUGUUUAUGAUCUGGAGGUCAUGUUUGUUGCUAACAGAUGAGGUGUUGAUGCCUCCUGGUGAGAAAUACCUGUUUCACUUAACAAUAGCCAUGAAUCUAGUAAAUCUUGUGACACUUAUGUAAGCAGUUUUACAAUUUAAUUCUCUUUCACCAUAAUAUUAUAUAUUCUCUACUUUUAUUACCUCGCAUCAUAUACUAAUGUCCUAUUUGUCUGUCGUCCGACUCAUGGGGGUUUGCAUUUUAUCUUUUGGUUAUCAAGUUCCUUGUGAAUUCAUUUUGGUACAAAGAGACGCCACAAAUAUAUUUUUAAUAUAAUAUUUAUAUAUUUUUACUGUUAAAAUAAUCUUUAUUAUAUGCAUAAUGUAUGAUAUAACCUAUCAAUCAUUUGACUCAUUGAUCCAACUAGUGAACUAGUGGCUCAAUGCUUGGUUGCAUUAUGUCCGAUCUGGGUUCUAAUGCUUAGUUAUAUUAAGGUGGUGUUUUGUACCGGAUAUAUAUUAUUGUGUGGUUUAUUAUUAAUUAGCAAUUGUUUAUGCUUAGCUUUUCUGUUUUGUAGAUUGAAUGGUGAUUGUUAUCCUUUUUUGUUUUAAUUUGAUAACAAUGGGAACAGUUUUCAUAGCAUUCCUAAACUUCCACCACUCGAGGAUGCUGUUGAGGAGGCUGAGAUCGUCCGGAACCGGAAGCACAGCGAGAAGUAUGAAGUAGAGGACCAGGAUGUCCCCAUGCAAUUGAACGAGCAGUAAGGUAAAAAGAGAUGAUGAUGUGAGGAACAGUGAAAUGAAUCAGGAACCAAACGGAAGCAGUUGCUUUAGGAAGAGAGGUUGCUGAAGGGUUCAGUUGAGGGAUGAAGAGAGAAGGGGGUUAUGUACGCUGGUUGACUUGGUUCAGGAACCAAAAAUUAAUCUCCCUACUCCAUCUUUCAGUAGACGGACUAAUAUGCUGGUUGACUUGGUUCUGGACCAACCACUAGUGUCCGUUUUAAGGAUGGCGCACUCCAUGAACUACAGCGUGGUGCCAUCGUCAUCAUCGCUUCAUCAAUCGUGACUUCGCCAUCACGAAGGGCAAUCUCAGAAGUGACGGAGUGGUGCUGGUGAUGGGGGUUGAGGACAAGGUGCCUUCAGUCACAAGACCGACAUGAGCAUGGGACUUGCAUUAGGAGAGGAGAGGGUGGAUGUACGUUGAUGAUCACUACGGUGUC
Musa acuminata subsp. malaccensis (wild Malaysian banana) is the source of this 1639-nucleotide non-coding RNA. NCBI's taxonomy places the organism in Eukaryota, Viridiplantae, Streptophyta, Magnoliopsida, Zingiberales, Musaceae. The record is from RefSeq and is a predicted model, not a curated record.